AACUAAUAAAAAUAGGACACAUCUCAUUUAAAUUAAAAUAUAUAAAAAUGAAUUGUGAAUCCCUUUCUCUCUCUCUUUCAAUUCCGGCAAGCCUCCUCUCCACCUUGCCGCCAUAGUUGAUCGGAGUUGCUGCUGCAAAAGACUGCUAUGUGGGUGACAGUCGACUUGGUGUCGUUUGUUCCUCAAAAAACAUUAACCAGACUUACGAAAGCGGGUCGACUUCAUGUUGGACUUGUUGCCUUGGACUAUUCACCCAUACACAAACGUUGAUUUUUGGGACUUGGUCGAGGAGGCACUAUGGGUUUUCGUUGUGGUCCUUGUUGAGUUGUUGUGAUUUUCAAACUUGGGUGGUAGUGAAUAUUGAUGCAGCGGUUCUGUAGAACUUUAGUUUCAUUAAGUAAAUUAAAUCAAACCUUUGAAAUUUAGUGGACAACAAGUUAGAUCUUAUUGUCUAUGUUUUUUGUUUUAAUGAUUUUUUUGUUAAAUAUGCUUGGAUCUCAUCCCUAAAAGCUAGCUCAAAUGGUGAGGUUGCCCUCACAUAUUUAUACACUUCACAUCCCGGGAACCUAAGCAAUGUGAGACUUCAAACAAACUCCAACAACACAACAACAUAUUCAACACCCACCCUCACGCCUAGCGUGGUCCUGGGUCAAAUGCCCACAUCAACACCCACCCUCACGCCUAGCGUGGUCCUGGGUCAAAUGUCCACAUUGCAGUCCUUAACCCGGCUCUGAUACCAUGUUAAAUAUGUUUGGAUCUCAUCUCUAAAAGCUAGCUCAAAGGGUGAGGUUGCCCUCACAUAUUUAUACACUUCACAUCCCGGGAACCUAAGCAAUGUGAGACUUCAAACAAACUCCAACAACACAACAACAUAUUCAACACCCACCCUCACGCCUAGCGUGGUCCUGGGUCAAAUGCAAUUACUUGUCAUUAAAACAAAAAACAUAGACAAUAAGAUCUAACUUGUUGUCCACUAAAUUUCAAAGGUUUGAUUUAAUUUACUUAAUGAAACUAAAGUUCUACAGAACCGCUGCAUCAAUAUUCACUACCACCCAAGUUUGAAAAUCACAACAACUCAACAAGGACCACAACGAAAACCCAUAGUGUGUUAAGAAGUCCCACAUCGGUUGAGAGAUGGCCUGACUAAGUGUUUAUAUACUAGAGGCAAUCCUCACCUUACAAAAUCGGCUUGUAAGGUGAGGAUUGCCUCUAGUAUAUAAACACUUAGUCAGGCCAUCUCUCAACCGAUGUGGGACUUCUUAACACACCCCCUCGCGUCCAGCGCUAUUGGGCUUGGUACGCGGAUAUACAUGGUAGGUGGCCCGAUAUCGGGUGGCCCAACGGAUCUUGGAGAGGCUCUGAUACCAUCUUAGAAUUGAGUAUUGGGCCUAACUCAUCCUUACAAAACCGGCUUGUAAGGUGAGGAUUGCCUCUAGUAUAUAAACACUUAGUCAGGCCAUCUCUCAACCGAUGUGGGACUUCUUAACAUUUUUCUUGCAAUAUUUUAAUAUUCAUUGCAAAUUGUUGAGAUUCAAGCAUUGAGUAGUGGCAAUGGAAGAAGUGGGUUUGGGCGAAACAAGCCUGCAAAGAGAGAGGGAGAGAGCCGACUGAAGGAGAGAGAGAAAAUGGCUCAUAAUUCAUUUAAUUUUUAUAUAUUUUAAUUUAAAUGACAUGUGUCCUAUUUUUGUUUGUUGUGCCCAAAUUUGAUGUGUUGUGACUGUGCCUAGUGAAG
Molecule: long non-coding RNA, 1732 nt
Filed under: Trifolium pratense (red clover)
Lineage: Eukaryota; Viridiplantae; Streptophyta; Magnoliopsida; Fabales; Fabaceae
Description: long non-coding RNA (TPRA_LNC001810)
Source: RNAcentral